UGAAAAAAUAUAUUCUUUUCUUCUAUUCUAAUAUUCUUCAAAUAGAGCUUCAUUUAUAAUUUCAGAAACAUCGCGAAGGGAAAUACUUUUGAAUAGUAAUAAUAUCGAUGUGUUUCCUCUUUAAUAAAUAAUUAAAUAUACUACUGAAGGAACUUGGAAGACUCUCUGAACGGUCUCGAACAGAAUAACUAAGCAAUUGAACGAGCGGUCCUCGCGACUCGUGCAGUGUUCACAGACGGAAAAACCCGACGGCUUAAGGAUUAAGUGCAUCAGAUUCUCACACUUGGACACGCAUAUUUUCGGCAGCUCGGCGGGUAGAAGCAACCCUGCUGGGACAUUCGUUCAAGCUCGUUGACACCCCCCUACCGAUUUGCAGAUAUAUGACAGGCCUCCGUUCUCCCCAUCUUCAUCCUCCCUUAUGCUUCUCUGGCUCUUGUGCAAACUGGCGAAAUAACUGCAUCACACGGAAGUCACCCUCUUCAGUAUUUCUCCGUCGGCACCAAUUGGCAGAGAGGGUGAGCUUACGGACCGAAGUCGCACAAUCGCAUAAACGUGCCCCGGAUUACAGCGAUCCGUAGGCUCCUUAAUCUCGGAUUACACGGGCACGCUUUGACGUACUAAUUCCAGGAUUAGAGGAGGCGUACAGCAAGUUGCUGUUCGAACAAAAACAGAGUUUUCAGGCACUUCGCAAUCCUUGACUUGUUGCAUCCUGUAACUUACACACCUCAGAAAUAACUUGCAAUAUUUUUUUAACACUGGAACUACCUACCGAUCUCUAAACACGAUUAAUGUACAUUGUUUUAUAACGAUGCCAAAACUGAAUUUAUUUAGACUUUCUAUGAUUUAUAUUGCAAUGCAUACUUCAAUAAAGAAGCGUACCUAGAAAUUUCUCCUAGAAAUAUUUCUAUAAUAUCAGGAAUUGUAAAAGUCAUUUUGACUGGUUUGCUAGUUCUAGCGUUAAAGUAAGAAAAAAAAUCUCUCGAAAGUCACCGGUUUAGCGCUAAUGGUCCAAACGCUUCCGUAACGUGCUGUAAAAUCCAUGUAACGGAACAGUCGUGCAAUUCUUCUGUAUUUAAACGAUAAAUCAUCCCUUUUCCAGGCCGUAGGGGCAAAGAAUCUUGCGCAGCUAUUACUCGACAGCAUCGGGAACAUUCUCCAAAGAACGUAUUCUCCUUUCGACACCCCGUGGACGUUUCUAUAACUCGUGACUAUUAAAAGGAACGCGAGAACUCGGAGAGCAGGAAGAACACCCGGCGGGAGGACACCAUUACUUUUAUUUCGCAUGAUUCAACGCCUCGCUUAUCGAGCAACAACUUGCGGACAAAGUCUUCGCGUGAAACGUGUGCGAACGAUUCGGUUUCCUUCUCUCGCACGAAGUUCUUUCGUCACAUCUCGCCGUUUUACUUACGCGGAAAUUUUUCGUACAGCUUUAAAUUACUUCAUAUAAUCAAACUUAUAUUAUCUUCGGGUCUUCUACGGGCUAUUAUUUGAUCUAUUAUUAGGGUCCAAUAUAGUCUAUUUUUUGUACUACUUUAUUAUAUAUUUGCUGUACUGCUGUUUUACUUUUCCAGGAAUAACGACGCAUUCUUGAAGUAGGCGUACAAAUCACCGAUGAAAGGCAUAUUAUUAUUAUAAAUUAUUAUUACACGCAUUUCCAGCAGAAAUGGUUUAUUGCAACUGCUAACAGAAGAAGUGCACUUUCAUCUAACUGUGUUGUACAAUCGAAGCACGAAGUUUUUACUUUGAUGCACGAAUAUCAGCAGUCUAGUAAUAACGCUCGCUGUCCAGCGACAUCCAUGGGGUGCCAGCAUGGUGCCCCGUAACUCUCCGGCGUUUACAAAAUAUUUAGCCCCUAAUACGGCUCGUCCAGCUACGCGGCGUCCCUGAUAUACGCUAUAGAGAAUCGGUCCAGGGGACAAUUCGUGGAUCGACGGUGAUCCAUAUAUCAGAAAGUCAACGCACUCCGGGUGUGCCAAGCGGCCUGGUGAGCGCGAGGAUGGUCCGUCGACGGCCACCUGAACUGCCGUUUCCACGACGGGGACGCGUAUUUACGGAUCUGGGCACCGAGAGACGGCCUAUUAGGGGCUAAACGAUUUUUAAACGGGGCUGGGAUCGAGUGCCCGAGACGCAACAAUGACGUGGGCAAACAUUCCGAUAUACAGGACCACCCGGAGCGGCUGCAGUCGCUUCUGCAGGCGCGUUGCAUUCGUCGAUGCAGAUCGAUCAGUGGAGCCUUGGGAUUUAUGUUCGGGAAGGAAUUGUUAAUUUUUUGACCUAUGGCGUAGUUUUUUAGUCAUUUUAAUAGUUUAAGGGUUGAAUGUGGAUAUUAAUUUGAAGCACUAAAUUGUGAAUAAACUUGAUCAGCUGAUUAAUUUCAUCGUCCAUUUUGUUUUAGUAUGGAAUUAACGAAUGCUUUAAGUAAUGUUUGCAAGUUGAUUACAGAAGCCUUAACACACUUUCACAACCGCAUGUUAGCGCAGUGAAACGUCGCCAGUGGCCGACAA
This is a non-coding RNA of Megalopta genalis, 2504 nucleotides long. The record is from RefSeq and is a predicted model, not a curated record. Lineage: Eukaryota; Metazoa; Arthropoda; Insecta; Hymenoptera; Halictidae.